RNAcentral lists this ribosomal RNA (570 nucleotides) under uncultured bacterium. Its description in RNAcentral is "partial 16S ribosomal RNA". It matches the Rfam family "Bacterial small subunit ribosomal RNA", at positions 355 to 914 of the family's 1533-position model. The record is from RNAcentral.
UAGGGAAUCUUCCACAAUGGACGCAAGUCUGAUGGAGCAACGCCGCGUGAGUGAAGAAGGUCUUCGGAUCGUAAAGCUCUGUUGUUGGUGAAGAAGGAUAGAGGCAGUAACUGGUCUUUAUUUGACGGUAAUCAACCAGAAAGUCACGGCUAACUACGUGCCAGCAGCCGCGGUAAUACGUAGGUGGCAAGCGUUGUCCGGAUUUAUUGGGCGUAAAGCGAGCGCAGGCGGAAUGAUAAGUCUGAUGUGAAAGCCCACGGCUCAACCGUGGAACUGCAUCGGAAACUGUCAUUCUUGAGUGCAGAAGAGGAGAGUGGAACUCCAUGUGUAGCGGUGGAAUGCGUAGAUAUAUGGAAGAACACCAGUGGCGAAGGCGGCUCUCUGGUCUGCAACUGACGUUGAGGCUCGAAAGCAUGGGUAGCGAACAGGAUUAGAUACCCUGGUAGUCCAUGCCGUAAACGAUGAGCGCUAGGUGUUGGGGACUUUCCGGUUCUCAGUGCCGCAGCAAACGCAUUAAGCGCUCCGCCUGGGGAGUACGACCGCAAGGUUGAAACGUCUAAGUGAAUUGAC